UACGUAGGGGGCAAGCGUUAUCCGGAUUCACUGGGUGUAAAGGGAGCGUAGACGGCCAUGCAAGCCUGGAGUGAAAGCCCGGGGCCCAAUCCCGGGACUGCUCUGGGAACUGUGCGGCUGGAGUGCGGGAGGGGCAGGCGGAAUUCCUGGUGUAGCGGUGAAAUGCGUAGAUAUCAGGAGGAACACCGGCGGCGAAGGCGGCCUGCUGGACCGCGACUGACGUUGAGGCUCGAAAGCGUGGGGAGCAAACAGG
Molecule: ribosomal RNA, 253 nt
Filed under: uncultured bacterium
Lineage: Bacteria
Description: partial 16S ribosomal RNA
Rfam family: Bacterial small subunit ribosomal RNA
Source: RNAcentral